This is a long non-coding RNA of Bos taurus (domestic cattle), 1926 nucleotides long. The record is from Ensembl. NCBI's taxonomy places the organism in Eukaryota, Metazoa, Chordata, Mammalia, Artiodactyla, Bovidae.
AGGUAGACAGCUCAGUGAAGUUUUUCGUGUUUCCACCUUUGUAACAACCGCCAGGAGCAGGACCCAGAGCACGACCUGACCCCAGAAGCUUCUUCCCUCACGCCCCUUCUUAGUCCAUGCCAUCACCAUCCAUACCAGAAGUAACCUCUGUUCUGAGUUUACCACCAGAGGCUCCUCUGUCCUUGGGAUUCUCCUGGCAAGAAUUCUGGAAGUGAAAAGUGAAGUCACUCAGUCGUGUCCGACUCCUUGCGACUCCAUGGACUGUAGCCUACCAGGCUCAUCCGUCCAUGGGAUUUUCCAGGCAAGAAUUCUGGAAUGGGUAGCCAUUCCCUUCUCCAGGGGACCUUCCCAACCCAGAGCCUUCUUAUAAGGACACGGGCCGUCAGACUUAGGACCUGGCCUCUUCCAGCAUGACUGCAUCCUAACGUGAUUACAUCGGCUAAAAGCCUGUUUCCCAAUAAGGUCGCAUUCACAGGACGUCCAUACACCUUGGGCUUUGGCUCCUGGUCUGGCCACUCACUGGACCAAGACAGUGGACCUCGGACAAGAUGCAGAACUUCUUGGUGCCUCAGUUUCCUCAUUUACAACGAAAAUACCAAAGGCGCCAAUUCAUAGAGUUGCUCGUGGAUGCAGCACUUAUAACUGUGCCCGAUCCCAGCAGGAUGGAGGGACGUCUUUCUCUCUGUGAGGAAGUGGUGAGAUGAUGCAGCCCAGGGCCUCUCAGUUUUGUCUGUGCGCCAGGAACACCUGCAGGCCUUUUCAAGCCACAGAAGCCCAGGUCACGUCCCAGACCUACUCCUGCUGAGUCUGGAGAACGGGACCCACAUUUAAAAAACAGUGCUUCUUUUACAAGCUCCACAGGUAGGACCCUUGGAAGCUGCAAAGCUCCCCAGAAAGUGCCCUGCAAACUGGAGCCUGCUGUUCUGAGAGAAGGGGUUCUCUCCGUUUUCUCCGCUUGCUGGUCCCAGCAGUAAAUGGUGCUGUCAUGGAUUCCCAUUUGGCCUUGUCAGAUCAUCAGACACAUUUGACUACCUAAGCAGAUGGUGGCAUUUCUUGUGGGUAUUUUGAAAAAAAAAAUAGGACAGGCUCCCAUCUGCCUGCGAUGACUCAGGAGCCGCCUGUCCUUCCCAGAGGCAGGAGCAGCUGUUGAAUGUCCUCUGAGGAUCCCUCUAGCCCCUGGGGGUGGGGACAAUGCCUCCUUCCAGGACAGGGCCAUCAAGGGAGCAUGCUGCGUGCCAGCAAGGGGACAGGGCACAGCCAGGCAAAGGCCACAGUGCCAGUGGUGGGAGCCAGGGCCGGUGCCUGUGUGGGUGGCCCCUUGUGGGUCUGAGUCUGUGCGGAUGAGGGAUGGAGCAGGGUACCUCCUCCCUUCUUUGGCCAGCUACCCAGGGACACGGGGCAGGGCGGGUGGUGACAGUAGAAACUAAAGGGUUUUGCCAGCUAAACAGCUCUCUGCAGCUGGGGCAAAUCCGUGUGGUUAAUAUGUUAAUAGUUAAUAUGUCUAUAGGUUUCUCUCCUCCCCACAGAGCAGCCAGACUCAGGGUGAGGGUGACCCCACCUGGAUGGAGGGGGGGUGGUGACCCUGUCCCACUGCUUCUCCAUCCCUUAGCCUGGAAGCAGGAGGAGGCCUGUGUGUGGGGAGAGGUUGGCCAGCAGAUUUGCCCCCAAGGAGGGGAAGUGCUGGGCAGAGAGUGGGGUCUCCUAGGGUGACCUGAGUAUCUCUCUGAGGGGCCUGCUGUUAGGAGCAACUCAUUUGGUUUUGCAGCAGCUUCUGCUACUGGAACCAAAUGGCUCAGAUCCUUGCUCUUUGCCUAAAAAUACUGAAAGCUCCCAGGCCCCUCAGCUUAUCACUACCCGUUGGUGGUCCUCUGUGGGCCACUGCUCCAGCCAAAGCCCUGUGUCCCCCGCCUUCUGUGAAGAUGCCCG